Cotesia glomerata is the source of this 527-nucleotide long non-coding RNA. RefSeq lists it as uncharacterized. The transcript is spliced from 3 exons. The record is from RefSeq and is a predicted model, not a curated record. Lineage: Eukaryota; Metazoa; Arthropoda; Insecta; Hymenoptera; Braconidae.
GUUCGCGCAGACGGGUUGAGUGUUAGUGUGCUUCAAACUGUGAUCUAUUUCAGUUCGAAAAAAAAAAAAUGUAUCCAUGCGAAACCAAUUUUGAGGGCUACGGUACUUGGUACCAGAUGGCAGUAAUGGUAUACGGGGAGAGGGAUUUGAGAAGGGCGGUUCGACUCUUGAUGGGGUUGGCGCGUCCUGUCCAUCCGCGAGAAGCCUUAUUUUUGGCUUCAUGUCUGGUGACCCUGUUUGGCUCUCUGCCUCCUGAGGUGGUGGAGGCGGUCGUCUUUUUCGGUUUCCAGGACCUCGCGAUGGUCGCGGAGGUGUUCGCUCCUAACCACGAGGAUAUUGAUCGAUUAAGGAUCGCCUUGCUCGAGGCUAUCUUUAAUGGUUUGGUCACCAGGGGGUAGAGGCCAGACAUAUUGGGUGUUAUUGCUUCCGCCGAGAGCCGAACGCGUCUUCUUUUCAUAAAGACGAGAAAAAUUUCUCUUACAUAUAAAAAAAAUGUUUUUUUUUUUGUUUUUGAGGAAAAAAAAAUA